Molecule: ribosomal RNA, 484 nt
Filed under: uncultured bacterium
Lineage: Bacteria
Description: partial 16S ribosomal RNA
Rfam family: Bacterial small subunit ribosomal RNA
Source: RNAcentral
GACGAACGCUGGCGGCGUGCUUAACACAUGCAAGUCGAACGGUGAAGCAGGAGCUUGCUCUUGUGGAUCAGUGGCGAACGGGUGAGUAACACGUGAGCAACCUGCCCCUGACUCUGGGAUAAGCGCUGGAAACGGCGUCUAAUACUGGAUAUGUGAUGUGACCGCAUGGUCUGCAUCUGGAAAGAAUUUCGGUUGGGGAUGGGCUCGCGGCCUAUCAGUUUGUUGGUGAGGUAAUGGCUCACCAAGGCGUCGACGGGUAGCCGGCCUGAGAGGGUGACCGGCCACCAUGGGACUGAGACACGGCCCAGACUCCUACGGGAGGCAGCAGUGGGGAAUAUUGCACAAUGGGCGGAAGCCUGAUGCAGCAACGCCGCGUGAGGGAUGACGGCCUUCGGGUUGUAAACCUCUUUUAGCAGGGAAGAAGCGAAAGUGACGGUACCUGCAGAAAAAGCACCGGCUAACUACGUGCCAGCCGCCGCCGUAA